ACGACGCUGGCGGCGUGCCUAAUACAUGCAAGUCGAACGCUUCUUUUUCCACCGGAGCUUGCUCCACCGGAAAAAAGAGGAGUGGCGAACGGGUGAGUAACACGUGGGGUAACCUGCCCAUCAGAAAGGGGAUAACACUUGGAAACAGGUGCUAAUACCGUAUAACAAUCGAAACCGCAUGGUUUUGAUUUGAAAGGCGCUUUCGGGUGUCGCUGAUGGAUGGACCCGCGGUGCAUUAGCUAGUUGGUGAGGUAACGGCUCACCAAGGCCACGAUGCAUAGCCGACCUGAGAGGGUGAUCGGCCACAUUGGGACUGAGACACGGCCCAAACUCCUACGGGAGGCAGCAGUAGGGAAUCUUCGGCAAUGGACGAAAGUCUGACCGAGCAACGCCGCGUGAGUGAAGAAGGUUUUCGGAUCGUAAAACUCUGUUGUUAGAGAAGAACAAGGAUGAGAGUAACUGUUCAUCCCUUGACGGUAUCUAACCAGAAAGCCACGGCUAACUACGUGCCAGCAGCCGCGGUAAUACGUAGGUGGCAAGCGUUGUCCGGAUUUAUUGGGCGUAAAGCGAGCGCAGGCGGUUUCUUAAGUCUGAUGUGAAAGCCCCCGGCUCAACCGGGGAGGGUCAUUGGAAACUGGGAGACUUGAGUGCAGAAGAGGAGAGUGGAAUUCCAUGUGUAGCGGUGAAAUGCGUAGAUAUAUGGAGGAACACCAGUGGCGAAGGCGGCUCUCUGGUCUGUAACUGACGCUGAGGCUCGAAAGCGUGGGGAGCAAACAGGAUUAGAUACCCUGGUAGUCCACGCCGUAAACGAUGAGUGCUAAGUGUUGGAGGGUUUCCGCCCUUCAGUGCUGCAGCUAACGCAUUAAGC
Molecule: ribosomal RNA, 868 nt
Filed under: Enterococcus faecium
Lineage: Bacteria; Bacillati; Bacillota; Bacilli; Lactobacillales; Enterococcaceae
Description: bacterial SSU rRNA
Rfam family: Bacterial small subunit ribosomal RNA
Source: RNAcentral